RNAcentral lists this ribosomal RNA (253 nucleotides) under uncultured bacterium. RNAcentral's name for it is "partial 16S ribosomal RNA". It matches the Rfam family "Bacterial small subunit ribosomal RNA", at positions 524 to 776 of the family's 1533-position model. The record is from RNAcentral.
UACAGAGGUCUCAAGCGUUGUUCGGAUUCAUUGGGCGUAAAGGGUGUGUAGGUGGCGCGCUAAGUCGGGUGUGAAAUUUCGGAGCUUAACUCCGAAACUGCAUUCGAUACUGGCGUGCUUGAGGACGGGAGAGGAGACUGGAAUUCAUGGUGUAGCAGUGAAAUGCGUAGAGAUCAGGAGGAAGACCAGUGGCGAAGGCGGGUCUCUGGACAGUUCCUGACACUGAGACACGAAAGCCAGGGGAGCAAACGGG